Non-coding RNA from Delphinapterus leucas (beluga whale), 2529 nucleotides. The record is from RefSeq and is a predicted model, not a curated record. NCBI's taxonomy places the organism in Eukaryota, Metazoa, Chordata, Mammalia, Artiodactyla, Monodontidae.
CUAUGCCUGUGGGUUUCCAUUUGAACUCUUGGCACAUUUGGUCUUGACUCCCCUCAUUCUCUCUUCUUUUUCUCUCUCCUCCCUUUGAUACACCUUUAUUUCUCUCUCUUAUUCCUCUCUUCUCUCCUCUUUGGCUUUAUAAGUCUUACUGCAUCAUCUCAAGUGCUUAAUAAAUGCAAUUUUUGUUUAUUUUUACAGAAUCAAAUCAAAUCCAUCUCUGAGGCUCCCUCUCUCCCAAAUGGCAAGAAAAUCCAAUCUCAGCCAUGAUGGAGAGGGGCAUGAGGGUGGAAUUCUCCUCCUCUUUCUCUUUCUCUUUCUCUAGGGCCAUAUAGCAAAUUGAUUUUAGUUUUAAAGGGAAAUUUCAGAUUUGGGUCUAGGCUAUCCAUUCAACUCACCGGAAAAGCAAUCGAGACAAGAACUCAAGGUUGUACUACUGGCCAGGAAUGAAGUCAGUGCACUUGGCUGCUGCAUUCCCUGAGGUGUGUCUCUUGGAAUUUGGUGUUUUCUUCAAGCUCCUGGAUCUGCCUCUCUCCAACAUCUGCCUGCUGUCCCAUAUAUACUAAAAUAUAGACAAAAUUAAACAUGCUUAAAGAAAUCUUCUGCAUUUCUUUGGCGGUGAUGCUGACGGAAGUCUUGAGGAUGCCCAGGAACUGCUGGGUUGUUCUUCCUAAGUAUUCGCAGAAGGAGUGAAGGUGACUACUGCAUUCAGAGGCAGUUAAUUUCCUAAGUGCAAGGCUUUAUUCAUUUUGAAGAGAACUUGGUUUGGCUGGUGUUCCAGAAACUGCAGCAAAGAAACUCAGGAGAAAAUCUUCUGUAUUUGAAUGUGGCAUAUUUCAUGAGUCUCUAAGUCUAUGCAGACUCAUUUCCAUGAGUCUAUGCAGAAGUCCACUUUUUGUGAGAAGUCAAAUAACUCAUCAGUUUGCAGCUUUGGUCCCAUUUGCAACUCAUGCUGCUACUUUGCGGGGGAGGAAAGGCCUUGGCAAAUGUCUGCGUUCCCACACCAGGCAAGAAAACCAACGUCUGCAAAGAGUGUUGAAUACCAUCUCUACUGGAUCAUGCCAGGACAAGUGGACCAUUCAGAACGACUAUUGGAGUCCAAGUUCCGGUGUAUUAUCUUCUCUUCCAUUCCAGAGAGCAUCUUCUCCAGAUAGGCAGGGGUUAGAAAAUCUUUUAUCAGUACUCUGAUAAAUGCAAGUUUAUAGAAAGAAAUUCAAUUAGCAGAGGAAAAUCAUAACAUAGAUAAAGUGAUGUAUGAAUAUACAAACAACUUUUACAUCUGUAGGCUCUUUUCUGCCCAGAAUAUCUGCUCUACAGCCCAUUCUCCUCACUCUCUGCCUCUGGGAAGCAGGAGGCUCCCUUUCCAGGGCUGCCUCAGCCAAGGCUGGUUUACACUCCCAACCCUGACCUGGCCAGUCCUCUGAGACUUCUCCAGGACUCCAGUGGAUGUCUGCCUUGGGGCUUUUGCUUGCCUGGUUUCUGGCUUCCCCAUGUUUGUUGCUGAACUACAGUGCCCUCCAGUUGGAGGAAAGAAGGAGAGAAAACUCUCUCACAUCCACUUCUGAAGUCUUGCUUUGCUUUUUCUUCUUGCCACCGUGUUGCUGGCCCAUCUCCGGCCUCCAUCUAUCUACACGCCAGACAAAGAAGACACGAGAAAAAUUCAAGCAACUCCUCUCCAUGCUUCAUAAAUGAUCAGCAGAACUCCACCUAACCACUGACCAGGUGUUUCCGGCUCGCAUUUUUCUGCCUGACAGACCCCUGCAAAGGAUCUGUCUCUGGUCACGACCAGGACCUAGUGACUGAAAGCAGAAGAAUUUCACCUAUUCCUAAGUGUGGGCAAGACACUGGAAAUAAUGUGCAUCAAUCAUCAAGAGUCCAGACGCAGCUUCAACAGCAUGUAACUGGCUGAGUGGCUCUACGUUGGUCGUCUCCUCCUUGAAUCCCAAAGGAAGAAAAUGGAGCAAAGGUCCCUUCUCGUUGAGGUUUCUUCCCUUAUAUGACACAAAUAACCCUCUCUAGGCAAAAAUCUGAGAGGGGAAUAUCAGGAAACAUAAGACUGAACACUUGAAUCUCAGUUUUCUUUCUCUUUUGUUCCCUAUAAUUCCCCACGCUGGAAAUGGGGAGGGUUUUGUUUUUCUUUACCUACAUUUUGAUCUUUCUACGACUGAACAAGAGAUUUCCUGCCAUUGCAUUCACAGGUGGAAAUGGAAUUUUCUCAGCACUAAGAAGAACUCAGUAGGCCUUGGUGUUCCCGGAUUGGUUGAUACACUAAAGAAGGAAAUAAGAGCAUUUGGGAAAUCCUUUCUUUUUAACAAAUGCAUGGCUCUAAGCUUAUUGACUUUCUGUUAAAUCCUAUUUUGUAUGUGAGAUGCUAAAUAGUACAUCAGUCUUUAUUUUUGUUUUUCUCUCCUCACCACAUUUCCCCAAGUAGAUGGAUGCUCUAGGACAUGUACUUGGAAAUGCAAAACAAAUAAAGCACAUUAAUAAUUUUAAAACUGUCUCCAAUAUAUACUGCUAUAUUAUAAAUUAUAA